CCCCCUGUGAGUGCAGGGGAGGUGGCCCCCUCCUUCCUGGAGCAGCUGGGUGGAUUCUCACUGAGGCCAGCCGUCCAUCAACCUGACUUCUUCCGGCUUCCUCUGCACAACGGCUCCCUAGAGCCCCCGUGAGACACUCCAGGAACCAGCUGCCUGUCAGGCACCUUAUUAAACUCAUUUCCAGAUGUCUCCACCUCAGCCCGAGGAAGCAGGAGGAGAGUGAAGGGUGAGAUGUGAUGGCUUCAUUUCCCUCCUGCCCACCAACCUGGGACUUAGCCUUUGGAGGGCUGACAGUACCGUAGGUGGGAUCCCUCUUCACUCACACUGACCAGCAGAGGAAGAAAUGGAGCCAGCAGGACUCAGCAGGGGCUGGAAGGAUAAGGAAGAGGGGUUGAAUUCACCAGGGAAUUUAUAGAGCUGAGUGAAGUGUGGGCCUCCUGGAGGUUUAUCUUGAGCAGCCACUCAGCAGCAGUGUCUGCUUAACCUUUCUGUGAUAUUUUGUUAUUGGUAUUGUUGGUUCUCUGCCUCACUGUACUCAUCAGCAAAAUGCAGAUAAAGAUAAGAGAUCAUAACUUAUAGGGUUGUUGUGUGUACAGUGCAUUAAUAUACUUCAUAGAUAUAAGUAGAUAAAUUUUUUUUGCUUAAACUGUUUCAUCGGUACAUUUUAGGUAUACAACAUGUUUACAUUUAUCAUUGGGUGCUUGUACCUGCUGUACAUGAUGUAUCUUGGUUCUUAUUUUUACCCCAUUUCCUGUGUGCCUGAUAAAUGUUAAUAUAUUAUUCAUUGCCUAGUUAAGUGCACAAUAAAUGUGAGCUUUUGUUGUUCAUACUAUUAAGAUUUUUAAAAAUAUAUGGACCGCUUCACGAAUUUACGUGCCAUCCUUGCACAGGGGCCAUGCUAAUCUUCUCUGUAUCCUUCUAAUUUUAGUAUAUGUGCUGCCAAAGAGAGCACUACUACUAAGAUUUUUGGAGUUUAAAGAAAAUGGAGUUUAAAGAGCAUUUCUCCCUGCAUGGAGUUCCUUGUAAAUCCUUGCUGUAGUUUGGAUCUUGAAUGUUCCUCAGAAGCCCAUGUAUUAGAGGCUUUGUUACUGGGAUGGAACUACUCGGAGAUGCUGGAAUCUUUGAGAGAUGAAGCCUCAUAGCAGCACCAUAGGUGGUGUUACCCUUAUAUGGAGACCCUAGAGGAUGUUGUAUAUUGGAGAAGACCCACUACACUGCUGGCCCUUAGUGAAGAAGUUGAAAAUGCCUGUGCAGCAGUCUCAGUGACCAAGGUUACCCGAGCAGCAGUUCGCUGAACUAAUAAACACCUGGAAGCUCACGGCCACCACUCGGAGCACCUCUUCUAAUUGUAGAGGCCAAAGGGUGGGGAAAGAUGGAGAGAAGGAAACCAUUGGGAAAAGAGAACACAGGUGCAGACUGUAGCUCUGCAUCUUCCAGGAGGACUUUAGAGAUGCUUGUUGGAGGGCAGAGAAAUGCAAAGCAGCACUGCUAGGACAUGAAAGAGGAGGGUGUGGAGGAGAGGAGAGUGCCUGUAAAGUAAAGGUGAUUAUGACCUAGUCUCUCUCAUCACUGAGACUUGGAACUCACGGAAUAAUGUACUGGGGAAUUUCUUAAUGACAUUCUGGCUUCUACAGAGGGAUGAAGUGACACAGCUCUUCAUAUUGAUGAAAGAAAAAUACAGAGGAGGACCCACCUGAGGUCCAGAUAGUACGAGAUUCAAAAAAACCUCAUGUUGUAUUUUGGAGAUUUAUCAUCAAAUUUCUCUCAUACUGGAGCUUCCAAAGUGAAUCACUGCUGUCUACUGCAGACCCAGCUCCUGACCAGGGCCCCCCAGCUGAGAAAACUAGGUGGAGCCACAGUUCGGAGGAGCCGAGGGGAAGGGCAAUGACCGCCAGGACUUUGGGAGAAGGGAUGAUGCUGAUAGCAAAGCCUUUCUUUCUUAUGGGGCUGAAGUGAAGUCAGAUGUGGAGUUGUGGGCACUGGAAAUCUAAGGAGAGGUUCCUAGAUUCUCACCUCCACAAACCAGUGCCUAUAGGGAGCAGCUGCAAAAACACCAAGGCACAGCCCCCUGGGUUUGCAAAUGCUAGCAUUACAGCCAGCAACCUUGGGCCUGAGGAGCAGGGCAUGAGGAAGAGUGCCUGGACAGCCCACAGGCUCUGGAACUCUGCUGCAUCUCAUCUCUGGGUCUUAUUUUGGCUUAUGGUCUGAGGUGGACUUAAUUCAAAUGAAGGUGAGGGUGUACUCGAGCAGCUUCAUCUUGUUACUUAGAAAACCCCAAGCAGAAUGAUAAAGCUUUUUUCCCUGAAAGCCCAGUCAAAGUCCUGGGGAAGGAUUUCAGGGACUCAAUGUGGCUCAUGUGGGUUCCUCUGAAGAAAGCAAACAGCCUUUUACUAGUCCCACUUCAUCAAGCUGCCCAGCCCUAGGAGCGGGAGUUAAGAGCAGUCUCUCCGAAACUCCACGAUGGCUCACUCAAGGGAAAUUAGAGUGAUCUCCAGGGAAGGGGAUGCUGGCCAGACAGAACCAAAGUGCCCUCUAACAGAUGGUAAGUGGCAGUGUGAAGAGGAUUUUCAUUCAGCUGUAGAUGAGGUUGGGAUCAGUCUUUAGCUAGUAUAAGCAAAUUAAGUUCUACAACAUACAAAUCAUGCAGGGUGUUGCAGAAAGACGUCAAGCUCUAGAAGGAAAGUGUCAUAGGUAAGUGUAAUUUAGUGAGAUUUCAGUCUUCUUCCUCUCCAAGUCUCCCCUUUGACUGUGUCUUGAUUGCACCCAACCCUUAUGUCCCUCUCUAUUUUACCUUGGUAAUCCCCUGCAGCACAUACUAAUACUGAGAAUAGUGCAAAUGAAGCAUUUGAAGGAC
Molecule: non-coding RNA, 2854 nt
Organism: Heterocephalus glaber (naked mole-rat)
Lineage: Eukaryota; Metazoa; Chordata; Mammalia; Rodentia; Bathyergidae
Source: RefSeq, a predicted model, not a curated record